Daphnia pulex (common water flea) is the source of this 1292-nucleotide long non-coding RNA. RefSeq lists it as uncharacterized. The transcript has 3 exons. The record is from RefSeq and is a predicted model, not a curated record. Lineage: Eukaryota; Metazoa; Arthropoda; Branchiopoda; Diplostraca; Daphniidae.
UUCACAAUGCGGAAAGUCGGGAUUUUACAAUCCGGCAACGCCGCAAUCGGCCAUCUUUGUUCUAAUUAAUUUUUCCCCGUGUAAAUUCCCAUAAGGAAUCGGGGUCCCUUUAGUUUAAAUUCAUUUUUAAUUUAUUGGUGCCUUAAAUAAAAUUUAUUUCUCAUUGAUCGUGUUCCCAGAUGAAUUAGUAACAUUUUCAUGUAUGGUAAGUAUUACUUGUGGCUUAUAUUAAUUAUGUAAUUUGAACUUUCAUUAGGUUGUUUUGAUUCUGGAAUGUCAAAACAGAUAUGUUGUGUGUUUGCCGUUUGGCUGGUAAUCAUGGUGGUAACAGAUACAAUGUUCGUGAAACUGUUAUGUAAGUUUUGCUUCCAAAUGUGAAUGUUAUCGGACAUCCAGAAUAUGUGGUUUUAUAAAGUAGGAGCCAUGUAUGGCUGAAAAGAACAAAUGUGAGAAAAAAAGAUUGACAAAACAAAGCAGAGUUUGCAACAUUUUGCUUCCGGUCAGCCAAGUUAUGUAUUUAACUAAAGAUGUUGACUGGGCACCAACACGUAAUCAUGAGAAUAAUUCCAUUGGGAUGGCUACUGUUAAAAGAAUUAGUCGCUCUGUAAGAAGGCAGAUUGCUUGUAUAUGUUCAAAGAUGUAAGAGGAUGACAGUUCCAAAAGAUGCAGUAACUGAUUUCAUGAAAGAUACCGCUGGAUAUACCCAAUGCAGAACACCUUUGAUAGACACAUCAACAAAUUGGUGAAUCAACAAACGAGCAGCAUCCAUCUACCUGCAACACAGCUCUUGCAUUAGAAAACUAGGCAUUGGUUCCUCGAAUAAAAGUAUUGAAAAAUGAAAAGACAAUUACUAGUUGAAACAGUGUCACAUGUUCAGUAUCUGUAUUAAAAACUUCUUUUCACCUCGUUUAAUACAAAUGUUUCUCUAGAAAAAAGAAUCGUGUGUAUUCUUAAAGUGAUAAAUAAAUAACGAUAAUGAAUCAGAUAGCCUAAUCAUAGUGAACGCUUCGUCAGAUUAGGGAACUAAAUGUUAAAGCAGUUGAAUAAGUAAAUUUUAAACUAGUUAACCCCAAAUACUUUUGAGGGAAUUUUUACCACAUAUUUUGGAUGUCCAAUAACAUUCACUUUUGGGAUGCAAAACUUACAUAACAGAUUCAUAAACAUUGUAUCUGUUACCGCAGCCAAACGGCAAACACACAACAAAUCUGUUUUGACAUUCCAGAAUCAAAACAACCUAAUGAAAGUUCAAAUUACAUAAUUAAUAUAAGCCACAAGUAAUACUUACCAUACAU